GGAGAGGUGGCCGAGUGGCUGAAGGCAACGGUUUGCUAAACCGUCAUAGUGGUAAAACGCUAUCGCGAGUUCGAAUCUCGCCCUCUCCG
RNAcentral lists this transfer RNA (89 nucleotides) under Ignavibacteria bacterium GWA2_35_8. RNAcentral describes it as "tRNA-Ser". It matches the Rfam family "tRNA". From Rfam's summary of the family: Transfer RNA (tRNA) molecules are approximately 80 nucleotides in length. Their secondary structure includes four short double-helical elements and three loops (D, anti-codon, and T loops). RNAcentral also lists the same sequence under 4 other names. The record is from RNAcentral. Lineage: Bacteria; Pseudomonadati; Ignavibacteriota; Ignavibacteria.